CUAUUUAUCAAAACCAAAUAAAAAUUACAAAAAAAAACACAACAAACAGUGGAUGAAAAAAAGAAGGAAUGCCCCACUGAACAGUAAGAGAAGUGUCCAUAAAAAAAUUGACCAACGUAUACCUUACACGCCUCUGCCUAUAGACGAACAAUGCAUCAAUAACCAUAACAAAACAUACUGUCAUUUUCCCUCGAAAACUGUGUCAAGAGUUCACCAACAAGAAUCACAAGGCAAUAGUUAUGAAAAAGAUGAAUUUUUCUCAUAUUGUUGAAGAAUACGCGGAUUCCAGUGACGAUGAAAUUGAAUUUUCACGCCAGCUGUUAGCAUAUAGUCAGCUACUUACUGCCAACGGUGGUUCCAUUUGUGCACAACAGUUCGGAGGAUCUCGUCCCGGAAAGCUACCAAACAUCAACAGAUUUUCUGAUGAAGGAGAUGUUCGGCUUUUCAAAGAUUAUUUCGCUGAAGUGCCUGUUUAUAAUAAAAAACAGUUUCGGAGACGUUUCCGAAUGUCAAAGAACUUGUUUUUACGAAUCGUGAAAGCACUGGAACGGAAUCAAUAUUUUGUUCAAAGACCAGACGCGACAGGGAAAAUGGGAUUGUCUUCUAUUCAAAAAUGCACAGCGGCUCUACGGCAGUUGGCAUAUGGAUCACCAUCUGAUGCUAUUGAUGAAUAUGUUCGAAUGGGAGAAUCAACCGCGCGAAAAUGUUUGGUGGAAUUUUGCAAAACUGUUAUUCACAUAUUCGGAGACGAAUAUCUUCGCUCACCUACAAACGAGGAUCUGCUCCGAUUGCUUCGAACUGGUGAAGAGCGAGGCUUUCCUGGUAUGUUGGGCUCCUUGGACUGUACCCAUUGGCAGUGGAAGAACUGCCCCACGGCUUGGGCAGGCCAGUAUAAGGGUAAAGAGAAAAAACCAACCAUUAUUUUAGAAGUAGUUGCCUCUUACGAUUUGUGGAUAUGGCACGCAUUUUUUGGAAUGCCUGGCUCGAAUAAUGACAUUAACGUGCUGGAAAGAUCUUCGAUAUUUUCAGAUCUUUAUAACGGGAAAACCCCUACUAUCAAUUAUUCCAUCAACAAUCACACUUAUAGCUCAGGAUAUUACCUUGCCGACGGGAUCUAUCCUCCAUUAGCUACAUUAGUUCAAACAAUUCCUUCGCCCAUCGGUCAAAAACGAAAGCACUUCGCCGAAAUGCAAGAAUCUGCUAGAAAAGAUGUGGAACGAGUGUUUUCCGUCCUGACUGGUCGAUUUGCGAUAAUCAAAAGCCCUGCCAGAUUAUGGAACAAAGAAACGUUGGAAUCAAUCAUGCGCACCUGUAUAAUACUCCAUAAUAUGAUCAUAGAAGAUGAGCGAGAUGAUUCCACAGCAUUUGACUAUGGCUCACUUCAUGCCAGUAUCCUUGGUUCGACAGAGAAUACGGAUGGUUUUAGUGAAUUUCUUGCCCGUUACGAGAAGGUUCACGACACUACCUUACAUUAUCAACUACAGAAUGACUUAGUUGAACACCUUUGGCAAAUAAAAGGGGAAGAUAAUUAUUAGCUUAUUACUCGCUAAUGAAAUUUAAAGCUAAUAUAUUUGUGUCGUAUAUUUUUAUGUUCGAAACUGUAUCGCUACCUGCAUGUGGAAAUAUAUAAUGUAUAAAUUAAAUUGAUGAUAUACCUUUUCACAAAUCGUUAGAACAUCUGAUCCUUUUAUGGGAAUGACAAGUCCGUAAUACAUAUAUAUGCCCUUUUUAUUUCACAAGUUUGUGUGUGCAUUGUUUACAACUGCCGAUGAAAGGCACGAUAACAAGUCUAUCAUUUUUAAAGGAGUACUCUCAGUGACCCCCAAAGUCAGCUGAUUUCAAACGUCAUGUGUAUAGGCCUAUUUCAAGCAAACGCACAUAAUAGAUACUGAAGAUUCUAUAGGCUUGCACGACUUGCACAGACAUGGUUGAGCAAUAUUAUUUUAGUGCGGAUUUAAAGUGUACCGAGCGAAUAUGACGUCAUGGAAUCCAUUGUCACUAUUGAAAUCGUGAUGUCAUACUCGCUUGGCUAAACGAACUGACAGUUCGUUUACCUAGAGUUGUCUUCGCCUCCGCGAGUGCAUGGAAUCUUUAUUGUUUAUAACGCACAUUGUACCUUCUUAUUCCAUGUGAAGGAGAAAAGGUGGGGCAUCCGAACAUAUUUGUAACAAUAUCACUUUAUAGACAGUAAUCUCGGAAGUGUCAUAACAACUUCAGCAAGCCAAGGGCAAAAAAAUGGCAAAUAUCGAGAUAUUUCUGAGUAUUCAAACUUUGUGGCAGACGAUUGAAUUGUUCACAUCUUUUUGCCGACUAAUACUAAUAUAGAGUGACCCAUACCUGAAAAUACUAGGUGACUUUGGGAAUUGCCUCACUCAUGAAAAGGCCUUAUUCAUCAAGGCCUACACGGAACUACAAUUCAACCCAUGUUUGCGUUCUAUUGAAUCAACAAAUUCGUAAAAGUAGCUGAAUAUGAGUUAUAUUUACCAAAGGGUGUGAGUAUUUUUUUUUCGGUAUUAUUAUCGUUGCAGCAAAAAAACUGUCACGACUCGCGCGGCAUACGAAGUUACAAAUGCGAAGUAAAUUUGAAUCGAUUAUUGGCUUUGCACAUCAUUCAGCUAAUUAAGAGCUAUAAUAUGCAUUCAUACAAACCAAGAUGCGACACAUAAAAGUGGGUAAAAAUUCAAUUUUUGUACUCCACGUCACUUCGGAUUUCAACCAAAAGCAUAAUUAAAGGUAUGAACUCAAUCAUUACUUAAUAUUGACGGACGCUUAUUCAUCCAUUACCUGUGUUUGCGUUAAUUUAACAUUUUUUCGAUGGGCUAUCUCAGUCAAGCUUCUAUCAACGCAAUGCAAACGUAUCCAUUCUGUAUGGGCCUUGGCCAACCUACAUUUAUUAUAUAUACAUUUGUAUGUAUACAUUUCUAUACACUUGUAGAUCAUUUUGUUAUGUGCACCUUGGAAAAGCAUUUUGAAGGUGGAGAAAAAGCCUUUUGAGAUUUGUUUUAUAGAAAACAGCAUAUGAACGUUCAAUAGAGAGCUUGCGUCUGUACAGAAGGUAACAAUCCUAAAAAAUGAGUGCAACCAAAUCACGCGGAAGAAACUGGACACGUAUGGAGGAUGAGGCUCUGUGUCAAGCAUGGCUUCAUGUAUCGCAAGAUCCAAUCAUCGGAACAAACCAGAGAGCAGAUAAUUUGUACCAUCGGAUCUACGAAAAAUUUAUGGAGAUUUGUGCUUCACACGACAUGAUUACAAACACAGAUGUUCGCGUGCAAAAGGGUAUGAAAUGUAGAUGGCAUAUCAUCAACAAAUGUGUCAGUAAGUUUGCUGGUUGUGUGAGUCAAAUUAAUGCUAGACAGCAAAGCGGUUCUUCGCCUGAAGACAACUUGAAAAAGGCACUGGAACUAUAUGCUGCUACAGAAAAAUCACCAUUCAUCAUGAUGAACUGCUACAGAAUUCUAGAGAAUUCUCCAAAGUGGAAGCAAUAUCGAGAUUCGAAGGGACCCACUACUAAACGGUCUUUGGGACAAACUUCAAACGACAGUAUUGAAGAAAUAGGAGGCGUAUCUUCGGAGAUAAUACGUGAAGCCGCUCGUCCAAGAGGCAGAGAUUUCAGCAAGCGUCAGAAAAUCAGUAAUGAUGUAAGUCUGGAGCUAGCUAAAUCAGGUCGCCUUUUGGCAGCGGCAUCGAAAGCGAAGCUAGACGACUGCUUUCAACGGACCCAAGCGUUGAAAAGAAUCGCAAAUCAUUCAAUUAUGUCGAUGGAUUUAACAGGUUUAAAUAGCGUCGCCAAACAAUACUACGAAAUAGAACAACGUCGUAUCCUGGAUGAAACCUUAAAAGGAACCGCAUCCACUACAGAUGGAUCCAUUAAGGCAUCAAUUUCUGAUUUCGAUGUCGAAGAACCUUCUGAAGUGUUUCACGCCGAAAGUUCAGAUGACGAACUGGAAUUGAGAAUGCUUUCCGAUGACGAAUUUGUAGAUGACAACGUUCAUCCUCCAAAAGGAGAAACAAAUAAAUGAGAAGAAAUGUUUGUUACAAUUAAUUUAGCGUUCAAUGAUUUGAUAAAAUAAAAGCCAAAAUAAAAAUUAUAUUGAUAUAGAUUUUAUUUAAAAAAAAUGUAGAGUGAAAGAAACGUCACCGUAUAAUAGAUGCGACCGCAGUCCUAACUUCACAUAAUAGUCAAGUUUUGACAUGAUUUCGAUUGAUAGUAUUCUAAGGUACACCGGGGCAAGUUGAAACGGGUGGGGCAAAGUGAAACACGAAAUUUUGAAAUAGAUUUCAAUACAAUUUGGAAAUUUAUCCUUCGCUAAAAGGUGGUUUGAAUCAAAAACUAUGUUUUAUGGCGAUCAAACUGUUUAUCAUCAUUAGAAAACAUCAUGUUAACCCGCUGUUUCAUCUUGCCCCACCCGUUUCAACUUGCCCCGGUGUACCUUACCCAAAUUCGCCCAAAGGCGAUGAAAGCGACUGCAGUAGCAUACUUUUGAAAUUUAAACGACGAAGAAUACGAAAUCCAAGAUUUUUCCCGUUGGCUUCAAACUAAAGGUUAGAGCUUGUGCUCUACUGAAAAAACUGAUCAUAAAUGCGCUAGAUAUUAGCUAUGUUGACAUUGUCAAUGGUGGUUACAUCGACUAUGUAACCAUAUGGGCAUUAUGUCUACUUUAUCUGUGAAAUUACUUUAAUUUCAUACUCUUGAGAUUUAAUAAUAAUUCAAUAAGGAUCAAAAUGUUAGAGAAGUAAACCAAACUGUAGUUUUUGUGGUCUUUCGCUGUGUUACGCUUCACAUAAAAUUUUGAUAUUUCCGAUACAAACGUUGUUGCGUUGGGGAGGAAGGGGAUCUAAAACUGCAAAAUCUUGCGUUACGUAAUAUUUGAAUGAAUCCAUAUUCAUAAGUAUCUCUAAACAAUUGUAACUACUUUUAUCUAAUCUAAUCCAGUGCGAGGAAGUACCCUGGAAAGUGAUCGUGCACGGAGAACUAAGACUACCUAUUUUUUUUUUAGUUUAUUUUACUCAAAAGUAAAUAUAUCGUUUAAACUUUCUACCCAAAAUUAGGUUGUUUUCUCUUUUUCUUCCACCGAUGUUGUCAAAAACAAAGCAAGCUGCAUCGACCCACUGGCCCAAUAAGCCAAUUUUUGGUAAAUUUGGUUGAAAAAACUUACGUUUGCGUUGAAUUUACCUACUCUUGAGUAUAUUUUUUUUGCUGGAGUUAACCCUCGAGGGAUCGCGCUGUUGUAUUUUGUACAACACGAUGAAAAAAUCUCACUUUUUGUACUCAGCACUAACGUGGUGCUGAUGCAGGUAGUCAACCGCGCGAGUUACGGAGGGUUAAAGGCAAACUACCUAGUGUGAGUUUAAUCAAUUUACUCAAAUUUUAAUUAUUGGGCCAAACUAUGGAGUAUCAUCAAAAGAAUUCAAAUUUGGAUAGUUUGGCGGCUCCGUGUGUAAGAUCACGCCCAAUUAUUGUUCAUAGAGUUGAAAAUCGGAAUUUUUGACACGCAAAAAUCCAUUUUUCUUCUAAUCCGAGCGUCGGAUGUACGUCGGGCAUAGUGCGCUGGAUAGAGGAUCAGGUCCGCUGUCCAGCGUACUAUGUCCGACGUUAGGUUUCCCGUACGGAUUUGGAGAAAAAGCGAUUGUCGCGUGUUGGGAAACUUCGGGUUUCAACCGCGACGACAAAACUGUCCUUGUCAAUAUUGAUGAUUGCAGAGUAUCAGAGAUAUGGCCGGGGUUCUGCUGAACCGAACUAAGCGUAAAAAACUUUAUUCCGAGAUAAUUAAGCUUAACCAGUCACAAAUAAACAACAGCUUAGAUUAUUUGAAACUUUUCCGCACACUUGUAACUUACAAGCCUUUAUUAACUAUCAGAGAUGAAGUACGUGUAAAUUAUUUGAAAUCAUUCAUAUAAUUACAUUUAAUUUUUCAGUACUUUGCACUCAGUUUACUCUGGCUGAACAAAAACAUUGGAAUAUGGUUUAAAGUUCAGUGUGGCUGACUGUGUUUCUUUGUUUCAGAGAAAACCAGUCGGAUUGUGAAAAAAAAGUCUUGUUUUUUCAUCGUCUAUGAAGUUAAAAUCGAUAUCACUCACAACCCUUUACAUCAAUCAGAGAGGACGCGUAUAGUAUGGUAGCACGGAGGUUUUAAAAAUAGUUUGAAAUAUGAACGGCAGAGCCCCACCCAGCUCAGCCCUUCCCACACAUGUUUUUUUUUUUCAUAUGCAGUUCAUGUGCAGGCACAGAGCAAAAGUGAUUAUGUCAAAUGAUGUCCAUGCAUGUCCUGAGAUCCUGAGAUGUGGAAGUGGAGCAAUUUCUGUACUUCAAAUUUAGGCUGGUCGAAGAAAACCAUGAAAAUUUUCUGUCAAAGUGAACUAAGACAAAUAAAAUAAAAAAACAUGAAAGAGAUUCGAACUUGGAUCAUUUAAGUGAUAACCAAGCGCGUUACCUCUAGAUAAUUUUACCUAGCUGUAGGUCAGUCGUUAAGUCUGAAUCACGUUCUAAACAUUCUUUUCAAGGAUGGUUUUCGUCAAAACGCUAUUUUUCGAUCAGCCAAAGCGAACCAAGUGUUUGAUUUUUUUUUCAAGCUCUAUUAUUCUAAUUAACCUUGUUGUUCAAUGACGGCCUCUGUGUUAAAUUAUCAGUAUGAGGAGUGUCGACAUAAUGCAGGUAUUCAAAACCAGUUGAUUUUUGUAUUGUUGACAAUAAAUUGAUUCUAAAAUGCAGUGGAUUUGGUUCGGUAAGGCUGAAUGUGUUUUGGAAAAAUAGAAACAUAAUUGAUUCCUCCAACACCUAUAUUUCUAAUUACGUGUUCAUUUCUCUCACAGAUUGUUACUAUGUAUCGGUUGAAAGUUAUAAAUCUGACAGCGAGGAGGAGAACUUGAAAUGUUCAUCAUCUGGACCAGAACUGAAAUAUUUCGCUGAGUGUAUGGAAUGGUUUACAGUUCACUCUGGUUGGAUGCAAUUUUAUUUUUUGUAUGUUCUGCCACACAGAAAUUUUGAAUUUACUCCACGAAGAGCUGUCAGAAUUACUGCUUUUUUACAUGGAAGGAAUGUCAUCUCAUUCUUCGUCCAAUAAUGGUUAAAACAAAACUCAAUUUUUCAAAAAAUGGUCUCUGGUUCGGUUUAGCAGAACCCCGACCAUAUGACGACACAUGUAUCAAAGUGGCCGAACUAAAUCACUAUUCAAUAUAAGUUCCUCAAAUAUAAGUUUGAAUACGAUCGGUCGAAUAAAAAAAGUGAAGGUACAAUUUAGAACAAUCGUAACUACUUUUAAGAGAAAAAACAAUACAUUUUCGAUAUGUAUGAUCGGCGAAGAAAGGAAAACUUUAUUCAAAACAUACUUAAUCAAAACUUGACUGUUUCAAUCCAUUAUUUUUCUGCGUUUAUAUUGUCACUCUAUCACUAUUGUAUGUCAGAUAAAUUGUUAUGUUUUUGAUGUAGUGAUCUAUGAUAUAAUUUCGUUGGAAAUUUCAAAGCAAGAAUAAAUAUCAACAUGUGAUACGAACUAAAAAAAUUACCUAUACAAAACUGGAAAAUCAUUCUCUAUAAACUAUAUGAACCGAACAGGAAUGAUUGUCAACAAACCCCUACUCAUAUUCUUUCGUCUCCUCUUUGCGCUACCCAGAGAGUUGAACGCGAGAGAGCGCACGAGCCUACGGAUAGAGACCGUAGUUUGCAUGUCUCUAAAUUCUAAGCCCCGUUACGAACCGUACGUAAACUUUUCGCUUUCGAGCUCUUCUUAGCAACGACCGGUGCGGCUCGCGUCUUUGUUCGUGGCUCUACUUAACGUUAAAACGCUUGAUUGAGCCCAUGAGUGGGCUUGGUCUUAGGUUGUUAUUAAAUCUAACAAAACAUGUUAUUAAAUUGGUCUUCCAGGAACAUUUUUUUGUUAUGAUUGUUGUUAUUUUGCCGCUUAUGACAGACAAGUUUAUAACAUACAGUCGAACCUCCAUGAGUCGAUGUUCCUUGACUCGAUAUCGACUCAUGGAGGUAAAUUUUUCCAUACUGAAAAAUAAUUUCUGGGUUACUAUGAUGGUCCCCCCAAAAGCUUCCCAAAGGAUUUUUGUUCUACUGCUCGAUAUUUCCUUGA
Aedes albopictus (Asian tiger mosquito) is the source of this 8075-nucleotide RNA transcript. RefSeq lists it as uncharacterized. Lineage: Eukaryota; Metazoa; Arthropoda; Insecta; Diptera; Culicidae. The transcript has 4 exons. The record is from RefSeq and is a predicted model, not a curated record.